GAUGAACGCUGGCGGCGUGCCUAAUACAUGCGAGUCGAGCGAACAGACGAGGAGCUUGCUCCUCUGACGUUAGCGGCGGACGGGUGAGUAACACGUGGAUAACCUACCUAUAAGACUGGGAUAACUUCGGGAAACCGGAGCUAAUACCGGAUAAUAUAUUGAACCGCAUGGUUCAAUAGUGAAAGACGGUUUUGCUGUCACUUAUAGACGGAUCCGCGCCGCAUUAGCUAGUUGGUAAGGUAACGGCUUACCAAGGCAACGAUGCGUAGCCGACCUGAGAGGGUGAUCGGCCACACUGGAACUGAGACACGGUCCAGACUCCUACGGGAGGCAGCAGUAGGGAAUCUUCCGCAAUGGGCGAAAGCCUGACGGAGCAACGCCGCGUGAGUGAUGAAGGUCUUCGGAUCGUAAAACUCUGUUAUUAGGGAAGAACAAAUGUGUAAGUAACUAUGCACGUCUUGACGGUACCUAAUCAGAAAGCCACGGCUAACUACGUG
RNAcentral lists this ribosomal RNA (497 nucleotides) under uncultured bacterium. Its description in RNAcentral is "partial 16S ribosomal RNA". It matches the Rfam family "Bacterial small subunit ribosomal RNA", at positions 28 to 507 of the family's 1533-position model. The record is from RNAcentral.